Sinocyclocheilus grahami is the source of this 121-nucleotide long non-coding RNA. RefSeq lists it as uncharacterized. The record is from RefSeq and is a predicted model, not a curated record. The transcript has 2 exons. NCBI's taxonomy places the organism in Eukaryota, Metazoa, Chordata, Actinopteri, Cypriniformes, Cyprinidae.
AAUCAAACACACUGAAGAUACUGAAGAACUAACAGAGUUAAAUGAAGAACUGAGUGAAGCUGAGGAGAAAAAUCAUGUCAAAACUGGAGAACAACCUUUGAGUUGCUCUCAAACCAAACAG